GGAUGUAAGGGGUGAUAUGACUGUGACAUAUGUCACCCCAUUGAUUGCCAGGGUUGAUUUGGCUGAUCUGGCUGGCUACAUGGGUGUCUCGUGCUUACUUAACUGCUCCAUGUGUGUUCCUCCUGAAGCAGGACUCUCAGUUGAAGAGGACAACCUUCCCUGAAUAAAGGAAGACCAGUCUUCCGUCAAGGGUAUAUGAGUAGCUGCACUCCUCUGCUAGAACUUUCAAGCAAUGGCCUUAUGAGAAUGUGAUUUGUUACAGCAAUGGGAUAAUCAGGUUGACAUUCCCUUAAUCUCAGAAACAUUAAUGUAUGUUUCU
This 319-nucleotide small nuclear RNA is filed under the name Microtus ochrogaster (prairie vole). RNAcentral describes it as "7SK RNA (ENSMOCG00000011705.1)". It matches the Rfam family "7SK RNA". From Rfam's summary of the family: 7SK was discovered as an abundant small nuclear RNA in the mid-70s but a possible function has only recently been suggested. Two independent studies have found that 7SK RNA binds the CDK9/cyclin T complex (known as elongation factor P-TEFb). The record is from RNAcentral. Lineage: Eukaryota; Metazoa; Chordata; Mammalia; Rodentia; Cricetidae.